RNAcentral lists this unclassified non-coding RNA (1014 nucleotides) under Hevea brasiliensis (rubber tree). The record is from RNAcentral. Lineage: Eukaryota; Viridiplantae; Streptophyta; Magnoliopsida; Malpighiales; Euphorbiaceae.
UAUCAUCUGGAAAAGCCUCUUCCUUUCAUUCUUACCAAACCCAAAGCGCGCACCAAAAUAAAAUGCUACAGCAAGCAACCAAGAAUCACUGUGAACUGCAACAAGUGACAACCAGUCCUUCUCUUGCAUCCCAUCUCUAGCAAAAUUUAUACCCAAAGCCGGCUCAGGAAGCUCAGGAGGCACCUCUUCCACGGGCAGGUUAACUUCCCAUGUCUCAUUUGGAAGUCCAUAUAGACACAGGUUCUCCUUUUCUGGGUCGCACUGUUGGUAAAACUUCUCAACAUCGGUGGUGAGAGCCCUGAUCAAGCCAUUGCGUCUGCCUUUGAAGUCGCUGAAAACUUCUUCAACGGUUCGAGGUAUUGCGUGCGGUAUUCCCUCCAUCCGCUUUCUUUCCCCUCUUCAAAAUAAGCCAAUUUUCAAUCUCUUCCCUGUUUCUCCCCCUCACUCUCUCUCUAUACAACGAUCAGCAUAACAAGUAUUUAUCUAUAUGUAAUUUUUCCAUAUAUGCAUAUAUGGAAAAAUUACAUAUAGAUAAAUACUUGUUAUGCUGAUCGUUGUAUAGAGAGAGAGUGAGGGGGAGAAACAGGGAAGAGAUUGAAAAUUGGCUUAUUUUGAAGAGGGGAAAGAAAGCGGAUGGAGGGAAUACCGCACGCAAUACCUCGAACCGUUGAAGAAGUUUUCAGCGACUUCAAAGGCAGACGCAAUGGCUUGAUCAGGGCUCUCACCACCGAUGUUGAGAAGUUUUACCAACAGUGCGACCCAGAAAAGGAGAACCUGUGUCUAUAUGGACUUCCAAAUGAGACAUGGGAAGUUAACCUGCCCGUGGAAGAGGUGCCUCCUGAGCUUCCUGAGCCGGCUUUGGGUAUAAAUUUUGCUAGAGAUGGGAUGCAAGAGAAGGACUGGUUGUCACUUGUUGCAGUUCACAGUGAUUCUUGGUUGCUUGCUGUAGCAUUUUAUUUUGGUGCGCGCUUUGGGUUUGGUAAGAAUGAAAGGAAGAGGCUUUUCCAGAUGAUA